Long non-coding RNA from Magnolia sinica, 351 nucleotides. RefSeq lists it as uncharacterized. The transcript is spliced from 3 exons. The record is from RefSeq and is a predicted model, not a curated record. NCBI's taxonomy places the organism in Eukaryota, Viridiplantae, Streptophyta, Magnoliopsida, Magnoliales, Magnoliaceae.
UGUAGGGAAUUUUCAUCAUCCAUGGCAGCUGUUGCAGAGAAUGCGCCACCAGCAGGUGUACAGAAAUUACACUUCAAACAGAGUAUCAUCUGCUGAUCUGGUUUUGAGUGUUGCAGGAUCAUCUGCUGAAGUUGCACUGGCUGGUUCUCACCCCAAAGGUUGGUGUAGGUGUCACUUCAGGGGGAGUUAACCAGAUAAGUUUAUAUUUUUCUUUUUGGUUGCAUUUGAGUGUCUAAUUACCUGCUUGCCUUUUUUCUUUUCUUCUUUCUUUCUUUCUUUUAAUUGUAAUUCUCUUUAAAUGUUUUAGAUCAAUAAGGGACAUCCCUGUAUUCAAGGAACGGUUUCAACAUG